Molecule: long non-coding RNA, 130 nt
Organism: Bufo bufo (common toad)
Lineage: Eukaryota; Metazoa; Chordata; Amphibia; Anura; Bufonidae
Exons: 3
Source: RefSeq, a predicted model, not a curated record
UAAUAUUUAAGUAUUUAAAGGGAUUCUGUCACCAGUUGUUUUCAUUAUAAAUCACUUCUACUUCCCUGUAGAUGACAAUUACUGUAUCUCAGACGUACCUUUUUGUAGACACAUCAAUCUUUGUCCCCCC